RNAcentral lists this ribosomal RNA (1113 nucleotides) under Triticum aestivum (bread wheat). RNAcentral describes it as "partial small subunit ribosomal RNA". The record is from RNAcentral. Lineage: Eukaryota; Viridiplantae; Streptophyta; Magnoliopsida; Poales; Poaceae.
AUGAGGUCGUCGGCGAUGCGGCAGCAGCUGCUGCCAUGCUUGGCCCUGCUGCUUCUUGCGGGCGCGGCGUCGGCCCAGGCCCAGAAGUACAACGCGGUGUUCAACUUCGGCGACUCGAUCACGGACACGGGCAACCUGUGCACGAGCGGGAAGCCAACGGCGAUCACGUUCACGCAGCCGCCCUACGGCGAGACCUACUUCGGCACCCCCACCUGCCGGUGCUCCGACGGCCGCGUCAUCGUCGACUUCCUCAGCACCAAGUUUGGGGUGCCGUUCCUACCGCCGUCCAAGGCGAACGGCACGGACUUCAAGCAGGGCGCCAACAUGGCCAUCACGGGGGCGACGGCCAUGGACGCGCCCUUCUUCCGGGGCCUCGGCCUCUCCGACAAGAUCUGGAACAAUGGGCCCAUCAGCCUCCAAAUCCAGUGGUUCCAGCAGAUCACGGCCACCGUGUGCGGCGACGCCGCCGCCUGCAAGCGCUACCUGCGGGACUCGCUGGUGGUGUUCGGCGAGUUCGGCGGGAACGACUACAACGCGAUGCUGUUCGGCAACUACAGCGCGGACCAGGCGAGGAGGUACACGCCCAAGAUCGUCAACACCAUCAUCAGGGGCGUGGAGAAGGUGGUGGGCAUGGGGGCCAGGGACGUGGUGGUGCCCGGGGUGCUCCCCAUCGGCUGCUUCCCCAUCUACCUCACCGUCUACGGCACCAACAGCAGCGCCGACUACGACAGCCUCGGCUGCCUCCGCAAGUUCAACGAUCUGUCCACGUUCCACAACAACCUGCUCCAGGCCAAGAUCGCCCGCCUCCGGAAGCGCUACGGCCGGGCGGCGCGGAUCAUGUACGGCGACUUCUACUCCGCCGUCUACGACAUGGUCCAGAACCCCAAGAAAUACGGUUUCAACGCGGUUUUCGAGGCGUGCUGCGGCUCCGGGGGAGGCAAGUACAACUACGCCAACAGAGCGCGGUGCGGGAUGCCGGGCGCGGCGGCGUGCGCCAACCCGGCCGACCACCUCAGCUGGGACGGCAUCCACCUCACCGAGGCAGCAUACAAGCACAUCAGCGACGGCUGGCUCAACGGGCCCUACUCCAGCCCGCCCAUCCUCCACACAUAA